Molecule: long non-coding RNA, 3188 nt
Organism: Anopheles funestus (African malaria mosquito)
Lineage: Eukaryota; Metazoa; Arthropoda; Insecta; Diptera; Culicidae
Exons: 2
Source: RefSeq, a predicted model, not a curated record
CACGUACAUAUUUUAAAAAUUUAAAAUCCAUUGUUCCAAACUUUACAAUAUUUAAUGACACUCAACCGAUCUAAUUUUUGAAAAUGUAUUUGUUUACCUUAUUAUUGCCAGCAAAAUCGAGCUAUCCUGGCCGCCAUUACAGAAAACUUCCGUGGCAUCAAGUCCCGCUUCGAAAAGCGAUUUUUCGCUGAAAACACACGUAUAGCGACUUUUUGCAUUUUUUUUUAUAUGGAGUUUAGCAAAAAAAAAUCUGAAUCGCGUUCGCAAACGCGACAAUUGCUAAGCGUUUAGUGACGGGGUGAAACGUGUUUGUAUGGAUUUUGAUUAAUUUAAUAAAUUUAUUCAAUUACUGAUAAAUGUAUUGGUUUACGUUACACAUUUAUGUACAUUACACAUUUUUUCAUUCAACGUAUUUUUCGAGCAUCUGUCACAAUCUUUUGCAAUUAUCUUCCACGCUUCUUUCAACUGCGCAUGAACAUGGAGCAACAUCGAUCGAAUUUCAAGGCGCCUCCACCAAGCUCCCCAUUGCAAAUCGUUCGCAUUAAUAGUGUUGCAGCGUGCUGAGGGUAGAUUGAUAGAAGCUCACAAAUGAAGUGAAUUUUCACGUUUGAAAAACGUUUGUUCGAGUGGAACAAGAACACCAAAGUGAAUUAGUUGAAAAAGGUUCGUGUAAAAAAUGCCUUAAUAUGUCGACUAGGGAAAAUUGUUUGACGCCACGAAUAUGAAGGUCAUCUACAAACGCUUUGGAACAGGGAAGUAGUUUAGCUGUUGAACAUCCAGCCUGUACAGGCGGUAGACAUUUUUUUUUACUUGUCUUUACCUUGUAUACUCUAACCUAACUAGUUAAUCUCAUUUCAGCAGUCGAAUAGUUCUUCUUGCGCGAGCGUGUGUGCGCGUGUGUGUGUGUGCGAGUGUGAAUGAGAUUGUAUGCUUUAAAGCGAAUGUAAAUGUGGGUUGGGGCAUUCACAAAGGCAUUAAAAAAAGCACUAAUACCGCUUAUUCUACUAUCCCAACCCCUCCCUAACCAAACUUACAGCAAAGUUCCUUCGCCUGCUGGCUACCGCUGCAGAAGCGCAUCCAUAUGGACGAAACAGGCUGGACCAUACUGCGUAUCCUGUCGCAGCGUAAUAAUGACGAAAUAGCGAAAGAAUUCGUCAAGCUAAAGUCGGAAGCACGGCAGGAGAUUGCGGCUCAGGGCUAAAAGGCAAAAGUUAAACAAAUAUGUCAGUGUUGCGUGGACCGAAAACAUAAUAAUUCGUUAUUUACUAUUCGUGAAUAUAAGACAAGAGGGAGGAGAAGAAAAAAACACAACAAAAAAAAAAACAAAAAUUCCCAAAAAAAAAGAACACACACAAACUAUUCAACUUACAUCAACCUAGAUCCUAUCCAAGCAAAGUAUAAGAAAUGUAAGCAGUGUAAGAAACGUAAGCAGCUAUGAACGAAGUAAGACAAACCAACAAUUGAUGGGUAACCGAAUGCAAAACCAGGGAAACGCAUACGGGAAUGUAUCGAUCAGGUGACGAGCAGAGGGUUUAGGAAGGCAUAGAGAGAACCGCAAAGCGAGAGAUGUUAGGUCAGCAGUAAAACUAUACACAUAACUAAUCUUUAACUCUCGACUAUACUUCUAUUCCUACGAUCGUACCAUCACUGUGUGUGUAUGUGUGUGUGUGUAUAUCCCAAUCGCAAAUUGUAUUGUCGUCAUAGUUAUACAAACAAAAACAAAACAAAAUAACUCGUCGUCUAUAGGAGCGUCUCUAAAUGGUGGCAGGACGUUUGGCAUCCGGACCGACGACGGAGGUUCCGUCCGUUCCGCUUUAUGGUUUAGUAAAUCCUGCCCAGUUUGGCCCACUUCCCGUCUAACUACUAUCAACACGAAUGCAACCAUGAAACAAUCGAUGUUUGGGAGCGGCUCAAUAUGCUCCCCAUAUCCAACUUCCUUACUCUGAAUAUAUCUGACGUUAUUACUCUUCUGCGUUCCGAUGUUAUCAGUUUCAAUUUUGAAAAAAAUAGAAAAAUAUCUCGCGUUCCGUUCGGUAAUCGACCCUUAGAGCUAUAGAUCAUCACGGUCAGCCGUAGUGUUGUAAGCGAAAAGCCAAAGCCAGCAAAAUCGAAAGAUGAAGAAAAAAAAAUGAAGAAAAAAAACAAUCAAAAACUGUUUGAAGCAAAGUCACCCGUAAAGUAUUAUGUUUUCCAUUUGAUGUUAACAAAAAACAAACCAAACAAACAAAAAAGCAAGGACAACAAAUCAUCGAUGUUGAAAAUAAUUUAAAUCAGCUAGCAAAAAAGGCGUGAAGAAAAAAAAGAACGCGAGAGAGAGAGAGAGAGAGAGAGAGAGAGAAAGCUAGGAAGAUGAAACAAGAAAAGCAACUUAACGAUUUGAAAAGACCUGUUGUUUUCGAUUCAUGCGCACAUAAACAAACAAAAAACAAUAGGAACAAAGUAGAACCGAUCGAAAAAAGGGUGGCACCGUUUGUGUGUGAAACAAACAGACAAACUAUCCAACCGGUGAACAGUGAACAGUGGCUCACAAAUGGUAUCGAAACAAUAUAAAUAUAAUACAUACAUACACUCGUACACCGUACAUCAUAAUCGGCAGUAGCAUCCAUGUACACGUAUAUAAAUAUCAUACAAAUAUCAUACAUACGCAUACCAAACCUACCUACCUAUUCCUGCCUACCUGCGUACCCUAUCUACCUUCCAGAAAAAGACACCCGACCUACCUACCUACCUACAGAGCACAUAAAAACAUAUUGCAUAUAGGACGAAUACAAAACCAAAACAUACCAGACACACGUAGUGUCCGAAUGCAAAAACCAAAAAAGCAACAAAAAAAAUCGUAUAAGAAGUUAUCAUAGCUGUAACAGAAGGAAACAGUAAUAUAUCACAUUAGCAUAUACCCAUACAACCCGUCGUCAGCCAUGCGAAGAACAAGUCGCGAUCAUCAUUAGCAGGGGGACGCGCGCAGAUCGGAAGUAGUGCGAUGGCGGAGAAGGAGACGCAUCAUCAUUAUAAGCUAGGAUAUGUAAAAAUGUUAUGGCACUUAGCAGAAAACAAACAAAAAAAAAAAAACCAACAGUUGAUAGAAGCUAAUACAAUUUGAUUGUUUAAACAUAUUUUCUAACAAUUCCUUGCUUAUAGUAAGAUACCAAUUCCAAAUAAAAACUUUUGCAAAAACAAUGCACCAUGAA